This 427-nucleotide ribosomal RNA is filed under the name uncultured bacterium. RNAcentral describes it as "partial 16S ribosomal RNA". It matches the Rfam family "Bacterial small subunit ribosomal RNA", at positions 355 to 774 of the family's 1533-position model. The record is from RNAcentral.
UGGGGGAUAUUGCACAAUGGGCGCAAGCCUGAUGCAGCCAUGCCGCGUGUAUGAAGAAGGCCUUCGGGUUGUAAAGUACUUUCAGCGGGGAGGAAGGCGAUAAGGUUAAUAACCUUGUCGAUUGACGUUACCCGCAGAAGAAGCACCGGCUAACUCCGUGCCAGCAGCCGCGGUAAUACGGAGGGUGCAAGCGUUAAUCGGAAUUACUGGGCGUAAAGCGCACGCAGGCGGUCUGUCAAGUCGGAUGUGAAAUCCCCGGGCUCAACCUGGGAACUGCAUUCGAAACUGGCAGGCUAGAGUCUUGUAGAGGGGGGUAGAAUUCCAGGUGUAGCGGUGAAAUGCGUAGAGAUCUGGAGGAAUACCGGUGGCGAAGGCGGCCCCCUGGACAAAGACUGACGCUCAGGUGCGAAAGCGUGGGGAGCAAACA